This 385-nucleotide ribosomal RNA is filed under the name uncultured bacterium. RNAcentral describes it as "bacterial SSU rRNA". It matches the Rfam family "Bacterial small subunit ribosomal RNA", at positions 30 to 414 of the family's 1533-position model. The record is from RNAcentral.
AUUGAACGCUGGCGGCAUGCCUUACACAUGCAAGUCGAACGGCAGCGCGGGGCAACCUGGCGGCGAGUGGCGAACGGGUGAGUAAAAUAUCGGAACGUGCCUGAAAGUGGGGGAUAACGUAGCGAAAGUUACGCUAAUACCGCAUACGCUCUCUGGAGGAAAGUGGGGGACCGCCUUGGCGGCCUCAUGCUUACAGAGCGGCCGAUAUCUGAUUAGCUAGUUGGUGGGUAAAAGCCUACCAAGGCGACGAUCAGUAGCUGGUCUGAGAGGACGACCAGCCACACUGGAACUGAGACACGGUCCAGACUCCUACGGGAGGCAGCAGUGGGGAAUUUUGGACAAUGGGGGCAACCCUGAUCCAGCAAUGCCGCGUGUGUGAAGAAGG